GCCAGAGCUGCAAGGGGAAGGACUAGAUGACAUAAUCAUAAACCCACAAGGUAAUUUUGGGGGGAAAUAUGCCUGAUUCUCAUUACUAGUUUACCUUACUUUAAAAUGAUACUAUACAUAAAGUCAUAUCAAGCCUAAAACUUUGUGUGUCACUUAACAAAGCGGCCUGUGCUUUGUCAAAUUAGAUGAGGUAGACAUGUCCAGUGGUGUUUCCAGCGAUGAGGAGGGGUUUUCUGGCCGACAUCAGACCCAGAACAAAAUGAAUCAAGGAUCCUCUUCAAUGCCGCAUUCCAAGGAUGACAACCUGAUUGAUUCUUCCAGUGAUGAGAUGGAGUAUGCUGACCUGCGUGCGAUGCACAGUGAGAGGACUCAAGGUGUAGGGCGGAAACGGUCCCAGAAAAACCUUGAGAAAAGUCCUGAUUCCACCCUACAAACCACCAUGAGCCACACAAAACCAAGUGCAGAUGUCAACUUGAGGAGGAAGUGGGAGACUGCUGAAGUCAAAGCAAUUGAAAGACAAUUAAUGGACCACAUCAGGGGAUGUAAAGUUCCUGGAAAGAGGCAAUGCAUGUCUUGUCUGUUGAGCGAACCGGUAGCACUGAAAAGUCGGAAUUGGUCGAGCAUAAAGUACUACGUCAACAACCGUAUUGUUGCCCUGAAACGAAAAAUGCG
RNAcentral lists this long non-coding RNA (672 nucleotides) under Gadus morhua (Atlantic cod). Its description in RNAcentral is "lncRNA (ENSGMOG00000034509.1)". The record is from RNAcentral. Lineage: Eukaryota; Metazoa; Chordata; Actinopteri; Gadiformes; Gadidae.